GGUGUCACUCACGGCCCACCUCGGACACCUAAUAACAGUCACCGCCCCUCGUGCCGCCCAGUCUUCCUCGUCCUCGCUGAAGGGUCGCUGUGUGGUUCGUGCACCCGCUGGUUGAGCGUUGAAUCCUUCCUGAUCUGACUGAACAUUGCCUGAAUGCUACAGAAAAUCCAUAAACAACUGACCAUAAGAAAGUCAUCCAUCGUGGGAAGGAGGCAACAUGUUCUUGUACCAGUGCCUGUCUUUCCUCAGGAUGAGCAGGAGCCAGUUCUGCCAGUGCAGCCUGUAAGGUGUCUGCUGACAAACCUGAGGUCUUGAGGUGUAAGGAGUUUGAGCAUCUGGUGCCACAGACAGUCUUCUUGCACUUUUGGGGGUUCUCAAAGCGCCUGGAAAUAUACAUAGAAGUAUUAAUUUGGUGUCUUGGGUGUCCUUGGCGUACCCGGAAGACUUCUGUGGGUUGAGUGAGGGGUGUGAGGUGUCCCUGGAGAGUUGCCUGUCUUGGUAGCAGACUCAGCUUUCUCCAACAUGCUCAGUCUUUUCUUUGGAGUGUGAAAUCCAAACACAGUGGCUGUUCUAAUGUGAUUUUCUUCAUUCCCCAACAAUUCUAGAAAAUAAAUAAAAAUAAAUAAAUAAAUAUGUAAAUAAACAAAUAAGGAAUAAUAAUAAAAAAUAAUAAUGAUAA
This is a long non-coding RNA of Portunus trituberculatus (swimming crab), 679 nucleotides long. RefSeq lists it as uncharacterized. The record is from RefSeq and is a predicted model, not a curated record. Lineage: Eukaryota; Metazoa; Arthropoda; Malacostraca; Decapoda; Portunidae. The transcript has 4 exons.